Molecule: long non-coding RNA, 277 nt
Organism: Maniola jurtina (meadow brown)
Lineage: Eukaryota; Metazoa; Arthropoda; Insecta; Lepidoptera; Nymphalidae
Exons: 3
Source: RefSeq, a predicted model, not a curated record
UCCAAAACGCGUGAUGUGUGACCAAAUUCUUAGGAACACCACGAUUAUUUAAUUAGUACAAGUGCAAUUAACUGUAUUAAGAAAUCGUGUAAGCUUUGUGUGUAAGGCAACUCGGGCACAAUGGCCGUUGUUGCAACUUUUCUCAACUAUUUUCUAUCGCGGGAAAUGCUCGACCGCGAUUACACUUGUGUAUGUAUGUAUGCUAUGUUACGUCAUUUGUAACGAAGUACUGAGAGAUGGAAUUAAUGGAAUUGCAGAAUUUGCAAAACAAAUAUUA